RNAcentral lists this long non-coding RNA (610 nucleotides) under Betta splendens (Siamese fighting fish). Its description in RNAcentral is "lncRNA (ENSBSLG00000026712.1)". The record is from RNAcentral. Lineage: Eukaryota; Metazoa; Chordata; Actinopteri; Anabantiformes; Osphronemidae.
UUAAAUUGCACUUUUUUAGAAUAAGAAUAAGAAUAAGAAUAAGAAUAAGAAUAAGAAUAAGAAUAAGAAUAAGAAUAAGAAUAGGAAUAAGAAUAAGAAUAAGAAUAAGAAUAAGAAUAAGAAUAAGAAUAAGAACAAGAACAAGAAAACCUUUAAUAGUCUGCCAAUGGGCAGUUGGUUGCAUUUUCUAAUUUUAACACACAAUAGAGAGGUAACUGUUGCCGAAACUUUAUUUUGAAGUUGUUAAUGUGACUAGAUGAGUAGGUCCUCAUACUCAUACUGACAAUGCUGUAACUUGCAGGUUAAAAAAUUCUCCUGGAAUACGUGUUCCCAGAGUGGGUGUGUCUGGACUAACCCCAGAGACAGACCAGUAGGACACUGGUGUCGUGCUGCAGUUCACCAUGUUUCAGGGGAGGUCUGGUUCAGCAGAUUCUUCUUCUUUGAACUCUGGCCUCCACGUCUGGUCUCAGUUCAGAGAAGGAAGAGAUGAAGGAAGUCAAUCACCACCUUAGGCUCAUUAAAGCUGAGUCAGCUUCAUCUGCAGUCGCAUGAAGGCGCGUGGCCACUGAUCUGCUCAUCAAUAAAACCCAAACAAGGUUAAAUGUUGGCA